GUGAUCCAGAAUCGGUGUUAUCCCCCUCCAAGACUGUUUCCGUUUGAGAUGCUGAUUGUUCGGGCAAAGUUGUUCUUUCCAUAUCACCUGAUUACUCUUCAAAAUGUAGACUGAGAUGAAAACAAUAUAAACGCACUAAGAAGUUAUUUACUAUCGUGUGUUUAUCUCUAAUAAAAUAUACAUAAGAAUGACGCCAUAUUUAAAUAAUUAUAUGUAACUACACUCGAAUGAUACGUAACUUUUAACUUUAUAUUCGUGAGUAUUUUUAUUUGUAACGAUCAAUGAAAAUAAUGUAAUAAGAAAAAGAAGAAAUCAAUUACAAUAUAAAACAUUAAUUAUGUUGCUCCGACUAACAUAUAUUUUUAUUCGCAAUGUUUCUUUUUGAAGCAACAAUCUGAUGACACUCCAGAUGGCGCAUCCUGUCAGUGAUUAUACUUUGGACGCCGUGCCAUGUAAAUAUACGCAUAAGACGCACACUAAGCCUUUGCAAAACAUUGUUACUGGAUCAAACUUCAUAUCUGUAUACAGAUAGGUAGCAAUUGGUUGCACACAAUCUCAUUGUGAAUGCACUUACGCUAUACGUUUGGUUUUCGGUUCUUAUAUAUUAUUCAUUGAUAUUAUGUAUUAUGUUAACCUCGUUGAGAGAUCUCAAAAAAUGACGCACUUAAUUGUAAAGUCCUCCUCAGAUUUAUAUUGGAAUCAGUACCAACUGGCUAGGGUUUCUUGUUAUUAAUGUGAUAAAGCUUAUUUAUCUCUCCCAUUGGUAUGGAGUCAGGUGCUAAAGUUCCUUUGCCAUUAGAACCUAUUAAAUCAAAUCAGGUAGAAGAUAGAAGACUAUGGGUGGGCAACUUAGAUCUUAGGAUUAAUGAUUCGACCUGCUAUUUCACCGGUCAGGUCCACAAGCUGGCCAACCAAGAGGUUAUGCAUUUGUUACUUACAAAAAGAUAGAAGAUGCAGAAGCAGCUAAAGACGCUUUGCAUAAUUUAAAAGUAGGUGCUAAAAAUAUAGUAGUAAGAUGGGCUCAUAGUGUCACAGAGCCUGACAUAGAAAAACCAAAGCCAAAAAUAGACAUACCUGCUUUAGCAGGCGCAAAAAAAGAAGAUAAAAAAAUAAGUCGUGAGACAGCUAUCCAGGCAAUAGAAGCAAAGCUAAAAUUAAUGAAAGAAUCAGAAGAAGAAUUUGAAUUAAACAAACCUUUGGAUG
RNAcentral lists this unclassified non-coding RNA (1203 nucleotides) under Polistes canadensis. Its description in RNAcentral is "probable RNA-binding protein 18, transcript variant X1". The record is from RNAcentral. Lineage: Eukaryota; Metazoa; Arthropoda; Insecta; Hymenoptera; Vespidae.